Molecule: long non-coding RNA, 301 nt
Filed under: Gossypium barbadense (sea-island cotton)
Lineage: Eukaryota; Viridiplantae; Streptophyta; Magnoliopsida; Malvales; Malvaceae
Description: long non-coding RNA (GBAR_LNC015442)
Source: RNAcentral
ACAAUUUAAGUCAUUUUAAUUAAAUCAGAAGCAUCAAAAAAUUAGCAAACACGUUCAUAAUCUCAAAAAAAAUUAAAAAGAAUAAAGAGAAAGGACUAGAAGAGAAAGUCGGUGUCUCUCCGAAGUCAGACUAGUGUGUGUCCCAUUUCUUCCUUAUGCUUUGUUCUAUCAAUUAAAGGCCUCCAAGAUGUUCAAUGUUGCUUCUCCAAUGACUUGCAAAACUCUUUUUCAAGAGAGAAGCAAUCGAAAAUAGGAAAGGGAAAGAAUGAGAAGCAAAUGGGAGAAAUUGAUGAGAAGUGAG